Molecule: ribosomal RNA, 288 nt
Filed under: uncultured bacterium
Lineage: Bacteria
Description: partial 16S ribosomal RNA
Rfam family: Bacterial small subunit ribosomal RNA
Source: RNAcentral
AUUGAACGCUGGCGGAAUGCUUUACACAUGCAAGUCGAGCGGCAGCGCGGGGGCAACCCUGGCGGCGAGCGGCGAACGGGUGAGUAAUACAUCGGAACGUGGUCCUUAAGUGGGGGAUAGCUCGGCGAAAGCCGGAUUAAUACCGCAUAAAGCUCUGAGGAGGAAAGGCGGGGGCUCCGUAAGGACCUCGCGCUGUUGGAGCGGGCCGAUGUCGGAUUAGCUAGUUGGUGGGGUAAAGGCCCACCAAGGCGACGAUCCGUAGCUGGUCUGAGAGGAUGAUCAGCCACA